RNAcentral lists this signal recognition particle RNA (264 nucleotides) under Bacillus sp. B-jedd. Its description in RNAcentral is "Bacterial large signal recognition particle RNA". It matches the Rfam family "Bacterial large signal recognition particle RNA". From Rfam's summary of the family: The signal recognition particle (SRP) is a universally conserved ribonucleoprotein involved in the co-translational targeting of proteins to membranes. Archaeal SRP consists of a 7S RNA and homologues of the eukaryotic SRP19 and SRP54 proteins. RNAcentral also lists the same sequence under 1 other name. Lineage: Bacteria; Bacillati; Bacillota; Bacilli; Caryophanales; Bacillaceae. The record is from Rfam by way of RNAcentral.
CCGUGCUAGACGGGGAGGUAGCGGUGCCCUGUACCCGCAAUCCGCUCCAGCGGGGUUGAAUUCCUUCCUUAGGCUGGCACUCUGUAGGGCUGCCUCAAGUAAGUAGUGUUGACGUCUGGGUCCUGCGCAAUGGGAUUCCAUGAACCAUGUCAGGUCCGGAAGGAAGCAGCAUUAAGUGGACGCUCCCAUGUGCCGCAGGGUAGCCUGGGCCGAGCUAACUGCUUGAGUAACGCUUAUGGAUGCCAGUCGACGGAAGGUGCACGG